UGGAAGCCAGGGCCAGGUGCAUACUGGGCAAACACUCUGUCCCUGAGCUACACCCCAUAUUUGCAUCUCUUCACAUAAAGAAGCUCUCACUCUGCGUUUGUUUGUUUUUACUCUGUCUAUAAUUGUGUUGUUCUUUCAGAGGAGACCAGCUUUCUUGGUUGGUUGUGGUCUCUGGUCCCUCUCUAUUCCCAAACAUCUGCAAAGCCACCCCCUGGGAUGUCUGUGGCUCCUGCUCUCUUCUGUCUGCUGCAGCUAACAUUCUUGCUGCUGCUGCUUAUUUAUGUGUUCUUUCUGGUGUUUGAGAUGCAUGCCCACUAUUCCCCAAAUCAAUCCUUUGAGGCCUGCCUCUUCCAUAGAACCUGUAUUGAUUAAGCUACAAGUUCGCUAAAUAGGAUAAAAUCUUAAAUUGGUACUUCAGCAAGAUGAGAGUUCAUGUGAAGAACUCCAUAAGUAAGCCAUGUAGAGAUGGUAUGACUGCGUAAUCAUCAGGGAGUCAGGCUUUUUUGAUCUUUUGGUAUCAUGGUUCAGAAUGGCUCCUGGAGAUCCACCCAUCAUGUUUGUGCUUCCGGCAAGAAUUUUCAGAGCAGGAAAAAGAGUGAGUGGCAGUUGUUGGGUCUACUGUUUGAGGCACUUUCCUAGAACCCUCUCUAGACAGUUUCUGUUUUAAAUCAUAUCAGUCACCUCUAGCUCCCAGGGAGGCUGGGAAAUGGAGUACUUUAUAUGGGCAUACGGCCCUCUCAAAUCAAAUGGGGUCUCUGUUACCAGGAAAAAUGGAAGAAUAGGUAGUGAGUGGCAGCUAGCAGCCUCUGGCACAAGCCUUUCCAACUACUCCAUCCCGCCUGUGGUUCUUAGAGUGAGCCCACACUGCACAAUUGUUUUUAUUAUUAUGCCAUCUGUUAAUUCAUUGACCCCAUGGACAAAUGACAACAGAACCUCUUCUCUCUGCAAGGCAUGGUGCCUGUGAUAUUCUGAAGCAUCGCUCUCAAGCCAAGGGGUUGGCUGGCUCCUUGAGGGCAGGGACCAGGGUCCGUUUCUCUCAGCAGUAUCUUUCCCAAGGCUGAGCGUAUGGCAGGCACCAGAAAAGCACCUGGUUGAUUUUAUAGCCGUCACAAGUGAGAAGCCCAGGGUAAAAACACAAAACAAAACAAUAAAAACUUCCCCGACUUAUUUCUAUGCUAGAAAAGUGUCGUGAUUUGGGUCCCUUCUGGUUUUGAGGGUGGACCGUGAACCGUCUCCAAACAUCAGAGCUGCGCUGCAGCCCAGUUGUCUGUUUUGGACUCUGCACUCUGUUUGCAUACUAAACACGAGUUCUGAGUAGAAGGCUCUGUGCCCACCUGCUUCCCUCCCCACUGCUUUUCCUGGAGCUGUUUCUGCCACGUGACCCUCCCUUGUCAUCUCUGCACCACGUAGCUGCAGAGAAAACCUGCAGUGUCUCCUCCGUGAGAGUCUGCUUCGUUCGUUCGUUCCCCAUCCUGUCUCCCUGUUUGAUUCCUGCUUUCAUCUGCCUGCGACUAGACUGUCUGGAGGAAGUUGCCUGGAGCUCGAAGCUCGUCUUGUGAUUGCUGAGCAAAAGAUAGCUUUAAAGGUUUCACUGUGUUGUCACUUUAUUAUGAAGAUGUUCUCAAACUCCUGGGCUCAAGACAUCCUCAGCUUCCUAAGCGCUGGAACUCAAGGCCAGUGCUGCUGUGCCGUCUUUGAGUUGCUGCGGCUUCGUUCAGUAAUCUACUGGGACAAUUAUAAGCGAUCUUGCUGUGUAUCCCUGGCUGGCCUCGAACUCACAGAGUUCUGCUUCUGCCUCUGAAGUGCUGGGAUUAAAGGUGUGCAUUACCAUACCCACUGUAGAUUUUUGGAGUCAUCUUAGGCAGUGUUCUUAUUGCUUACAUCAUUCAUUCUUUUUGUUUGUUUGUUUUGUUUUUUGAGACAGGGUUUCUCUGUGUAUCCUUGGCUAUCCUGGAACUCACUCUGUAGACCAAGCUGGCCUUGAAUUCAUACAGAUCUGCCUGGCUCUACCUCUCUAGCGCUGGAAUUAAAGGUGUGCACAACCACUACCUGGCCCUUACAUCAUUAUUUCUAAUCAUAAAGAACAGACUUGUAAACAAAAGUAUGAAGCUAUUAAUCUGUAAGUUAGGGACUGCUCAACUACAUUAUCAUUCAAAGUGUAUAUUAUACACAUAUACUUUCUUUUGUUAUUUUUUUUUGUUUAUCACUUAUGAUAACUAUUAAACAUCUAUUACUCUC
Long non-coding RNA from Peromyscus californicus insignis, 2238 nucleotides. RefSeq lists it as uncharacterized. The record is from RefSeq and is a predicted model, not a curated record. Lineage: Eukaryota; Metazoa; Chordata; Mammalia; Rodentia; Cricetidae. The transcript is spliced from 3 exons.